This 269-nucleotide ribosomal RNA is filed under the name uncultured Streptococcus sp. Its description in RNAcentral is "partial 16S ribosomal RNA". It matches the Rfam family "Bacterial small subunit ribosomal RNA", at positions 1113 to 1382 of the family's 1533-position model. The record is from RNAcentral. Lineage: Bacteria; Bacillati; Bacillota; Bacilli; Lactobacillales; Streptococcaceae.
AGUUGCCAUCAUUCAGUUUGGGGCACUCUAGCGAGACUGCCGGUAAUAAACCGGAGGAAGUGGGGAUGACGUCAAAUCAUCAUGCCCCUUAUGACCUGGGCUACACACGUGCUACAAUGGUUGGUACAACGAGUUGCGAGUCGGUGACGGCGAGCUAAUCUCUUAAAGCCAAUCUCAGUUCGGAUUGUAGGCUGCAACUCGCCUACAUGAAGUCGGAAUCGCUAGUAAUCGCGGAUCAGCACGCCGCGGUGAAUACGUUCCCGGGCCUU